Molecule: ribosomal RNA, 451 nt
Filed under: uncultured bacterium
Lineage: Bacteria
Description: partial 16S ribosomal RNA
Rfam family: Bacterial small subunit ribosomal RNA
Source: RNAcentral
GUGGGGAAUAUUGGACAAUGGGGGGAACCCUGAUCCAGCCAUGCCGCGUGUGUGAAGAAGGCCUUUUGGUUGUAAAGCACUUUAAGCGAGGAGGAGGCUACCGAGAUUAAUACUCUUGGAUAGUGGACGUUACUCGCAGAAUAAGCACCGGCUAACUCUGUGCCAGCAGCCGCGGUAAUACAGAGGGUGCAAGCGUUAAUCGGAUUUACUGGGCGUAAAGCGCGCGUAGGUGGCCAAUUAAGUCAAAUGUGAAAUCCCAGAGCUUAACUUGGGAAGUGCAGUCGAUACUGUUUGGCUAGAGUAUGGGAGAGGAUGGUAGAAUUCCAGGUGUAGCGGUGAAAUGCGUAGAGAUCUGGAGGAAUACCGAUGGCGAAGGCAGCCAUCUGGCCUAAUACUGACACUGAGGUGCGAAAGCAUGGGGAGCAAACAGGAUUAGAUACCCUAGUAGUCC